AAAUUGAAGAGUUUGAUCAUGGCUCAGAUUGAACGCUGGCGGCAGGCCUAACACAUGCAAGUCGAACGGUAACAGGAAACAGCUUGCUGUUUCGCUGACGAGUGGCGGACGGGUGAGUAAUGUCUGGGAAACUGCCUGAUGGAGGGGGAUAACUACUGGAAACGGUAGCUAAUACCGCAUAACGUCGCAAGACCAAAGAGGGGGACCUUCGGGCCUCUUGCCAUCGGAUGUGCCCAGAUGGGAUUAGCUAGUAGGUGGGGUAACGGCUCACCUAGGCGACGAUCCCUAGCUGGUCUGAGAGGAUGACCAGCCACACUGGAACUGAGACACGGUCCAGACUCCUACGGGAGGCAGCAGUGGGGAAUAUUGCACAAUGGGCGCAAGCCUGAUGCAGCCAUGCCGCGUGUAUGAAGAAGGCCUUCGGGUUGUAAAGUACUUUCAGUGGGGAGGAAGGGAGUAAAGUUAAUACCUUUGCUCAUUGACGUUACCCGCAGAAGAAGCACCGGCUAACUCCGUGCCAGCA
Molecule: ribosomal RNA, 523 nt
Filed under: Escherichia coli
Lineage: Bacteria; Pseudomonadati; Pseudomonadota; Gammaproteobacteria; Enterobacterales; Enterobacteriaceae
Description: bacterial SSU rRNA
Rfam family: Bacterial small subunit ribosomal RNA
Source: RNAcentral